RNAcentral lists this long non-coding RNA (412 nucleotides) under Bos taurus (domestic cattle). RNAcentral describes it as "long non-coding RNA NONBTAT000171". Lineage: Eukaryota; Metazoa; Chordata; Mammalia; Artiodactyla; Bovidae. The record is from RNAcentral.
UGAAGGAUUCACAAAUUUUGCAACUCUCAAAAGCUUUAGAAGGAAAAAUUUAGUUUAGAAACUAACAUAUUAAUAUAUUAAUACCUUCUUUAAGCAUUAGGUUGGUAGCAAUGACAGGCAAAAUGAAGAUUUCUUUAAGGAACACUGAAAAUACAUACAUAUUUAUAUAUGUGAAUGGGGUAAAAUAAAAAAACUACCCAUUGAUGAAUUAGAAGCUGGAUGAAGAACAUCUGUUUUAACUUAGUUGCCAUCUGUAUAGUGUGAUUCCAUUAAAUUUUUAGAAAAAUAUUUUCUGGUUUUAACAAAAAAAUUAGUGUAACACUUACUAUGCCAAGAAAUGACUUAAUUUUGAUUUUAGAACUAUCAUUCUAAAUCAAAAUCAGCUCUUUAUAAUUUUAACAAAUUCAUUUAA